RNAcentral lists this unclassified non-coding RNA (336 nucleotides) under soil metagenome. RNAcentral describes it as "partial contains 5.8S ribosomal RNA, internal transcribed spacer 2, and large subunit ribosomal RNA". The stretch from base 1 to 120 matches the Rfam family "5.8S ribosomal RNA", at positions 35 to 154 of the family's 154-position model. The record is from RNAcentral.
GAUGAAGAACGUAGCGAAAUGCGAUAAGUAGUGUGAAUUGCAGAAUUCAGUGAAUCAUCGAAUCUUUGAACGCACAUUGCGCCCCCUGGUAUUCCAUGGGGCAUGCCUGUUCGAGCGUCAUUUGUACCUUCAAGCUUUGCUUGGUGUUGGGUGUUUGUCUCGCCUUUGCGUGUAGACUCGCCUUAAAAUAAUUGGCAGCCGGCGUAUUGAUUUCGGAGCGCAGUACAUCUCGCGCUUUGCACUCAUAACGACAGCGUCCAAAAGUACAUUUUACACUCUUGACCUCGGAUCAGGUAGGGAUACCCGCUGAACUUAAGCAUAUCAAUAAGCGGAGGA